Molecule: small nuclear RNA, 104 nt
Organism: Phragmites australis (common reed)
Lineage: Eukaryota; Viridiplantae; Streptophyta; Magnoliopsida; Poales; Poaceae
Source: RefSeq, a predicted model, not a curated record
CUACUAAUUUCCGUAUCUUCGUAGACAUCGGAACAAUACAGAGAAAAUUAGCACGACCCUACUUAAGGAUGAGACACACAAAUAGAGAAGAUAUAUUGUAUUUU